UACAGAGGGGGCGAGCGUUGUUCGGAAUUACUGGGCGUAAAGGGCGCGUAGGCGGCCUCUUAAGUCGAACGUGAAAUCCCCGGGCUCAACCCGGGAACUGCGUCCGAUACUGGGGGGCUUGAAUCCGGGAGAGGGAUGUGGAAUUCCAGGUGUAGCGGUGAAAUGCGUAGAUAUCUGGAGGAACACCGGUGGCGAAGGCGGCAUCCUGGACCGGCAUUGACGCCGAGGCGCGAAAGCGUGGGGAGCAAACAGG
Molecule: ribosomal RNA, 253 nt
Filed under: uncultured bacterium
Lineage: Bacteria
Description: partial 16S ribosomal RNA
Rfam family: Bacterial small subunit ribosomal RNA
Source: RNAcentral